RNAcentral lists this ribosomal RNA (517 nucleotides) under uncultured Porphyromonadaceae bacterium. RNAcentral describes it as "partial 16S ribosomal RNA". Lineage: Bacteria; Pseudomonadati; Bacteroidota; Bacteroidia; Bacteroidales; Porphyromonadaceae. The record is from RNAcentral.
CACGGAGUUAGCCGAUGCUUUUUCUCCGGGUACUCUCCGCCUGGGCACACGUGCUCAGGCUUGCUCCCCGGCAAAAGAGGUUUACAACCCGUAGGGCCGUCUUCCCUCACGCGACUUGGCUGGUUCAGGCUUGCGCCCAUUGACCAAUAUUCCUCACUGCUGCCUCCCGUAGGAGUCUGGACCGUGUCUCAGUUCCAGUGUGGGGGACCUUCCUCUCAGAACCCCUACGCAUCGUCGCCUUGGUGGGCCGUUGCCCCGCCAACUAGCUAAUGCGCCGCAUGCCCAGCCGGUACCGGAUCUCUCCUUUGAACCCAAGGGGAUGCCCCCUCGGGUUGUCACGCGGUAUUAGACGGCGUUUCCGCCGCUUAUCCCCCUGUACCCGGACAGGUUGCAUACGUGUUACUCACCCGUGCGCCGGUCGCCGGCAAAGAUUAGCAAGCUAACCUUCCCGCUGCCCCUCGACUUGCAUGUGUUAAGCCUGUCGCUAGCGUUCAUCCUGAGCCAGGAUCAAAACUCU